GAUGAACGCUGGCGGCGUGCCUAAUACAUGCAAGUAGAACGCUGAAGGAGGAGCUUGCUCUUCUGGAUGAGUUGCGAACGGGUGAGUAACGCGUAGGUAACCUGCCUGGUAGCGGGGGAUAACUAUUGGAAACGAUAGCUAAUACCGCAUGACAACAGUUAUUGCAUGAUAACUGUUUAAAAGGGGCAACUGCUCCACUACCAGAUGGACCUGCGUUGUAUUAGCUAGUUGGUGAGGUAACGGCUCACCAAGGCGACGAUACAUAGCCGACCUGAGAGGGGGAUCGGCCACACUGGGACUGAGACACGGCCCAGACCCCUACGGGAGGCAGCAGUAGGGAAUCUUCGGCAAUGGACGGAAGUCUGACCGAGCAACGCCGCGUGAGUGAAGAAGGGUUUCGGAUCGUAAAGCUCUGUUGUAAGAGAAGAACGAGUGUGAGAGUGGAAAGUUCACACUGUGACGGUAUCUAACCAGAAAGGGACGGCUAACUACGUG
RNAcentral lists this ribosomal RNA (495 nucleotides) under uncultured bacterium. RNAcentral describes it as "partial 16S ribosomal RNA". It matches the Rfam family "Bacterial small subunit ribosomal RNA", at positions 28 to 507 of the family's 1533-position model. The record is from RNAcentral.